CCUACGGGAGGCAGCAGUGGGGAAUAUUGCACAAUGGGGGAAACCCUGAUGCAGCGACGCCGCGUGAGUGAAGAAGGAUUGCGGUACGUAAAGCUCUAUCAGCAGGGAAGAAAAUGACGGUACCUGACUAAGAAGCCCCGGCUAACUACGUGCCAGCAGCCGCGGUAAUACGUAGGGGGCAAGCGUUAUCCGGAUUUACUGGGUGUAAAGGGAGCGUAGACGGCAGCGCAAGUCUGGCGUGAAAUCCCAUGGCUUAACCCUGGAACUGCUUUGGAAACUGUGCAGCUAGAGUGCAGGAGAGGUAAGCGGAAUUCCUAGUGUAGCGGUGUCAUGCGUAGAUAUUAGGAGGAACACCAGUGGCGAAGGCGGCUUACUGGACUGUACCUGCCGUUGAGGCUCGAAAGCGUGGGGAGCAAACAGGAUUAGAUACCCGAGUAGUC
Molecule: ribosomal RNA, 440 nt
Filed under: uncultured bacterium
Lineage: Bacteria
Description: partial 16S ribosomal RNA
Rfam family: Bacterial small subunit ribosomal RNA
Source: RNAcentral